UGCAUCGAUGAAGAACGCAGCGAAAUGCGAUACGUAGUGUGAAUUGCAGAAUUCAGUGAAUCAUCGAAUCUUUGAACGCACAUUGCGCCCUUUGGUAUUCCAAAGGGCAUGCCUGUUCGAGCGUCAUUUGUACCCUCAAGCUUUGCUUGGUGUUGGGCGUUGUUUGUCUUUGGCCUUGCCCAAAGACUCGCCUUAAAACAAUUGGCAGCCGGCCUACUGGUUUCGCAGCGCAGCACAUUUUUGCGCUUGCAAUCAGCAAAAGAGGUUGGCCAUCCAUCAAGACUACAUUUAUACGUUUGACCUCGGAUCAGGUAGGGAUACCCGCUGAACUUAAGCAUAUCAAUAAGCGGAGGA
RNAcentral lists this ribosomal RNA (354 nucleotides) under uncultured fungus. RNAcentral's name for it is "eukaryotic LSU rRNA". The stretch from base 1 to 126 matches the Rfam family "5.8S ribosomal RNA", at positions 29 to 154 of the family's 154-position model. Lineage: Eukaryota; Fungi. The record is from RNAcentral.